UUUCAAGUUGGCAAGAAACUACUGGCGAUUUCCCAGAAGCAAGCGGCAACUCCAGAUUUUACAGGACACCAGAUGGCAGACUUGCUCUUUGACAUUUUGUGUUUUGGAAUUAUGGAUAAAGGAUUGUGCAUCCACACUGGCCCUAUUUCCCUACCCAUGACCACCCACCAUACCUAAGGAACUGAGCCUGGGGAAAGUUGCAACCACAGACUGACUGGUUUCAUUAUUAAUUGAUCAUCACCAUGUUCAAAGGGACCCUUGAAAUUGCCUGGUAAUUCCGCCAUGUUUCUUUGGUCUCUCAUUAAAAUUUC
Molecule: long non-coding RNA, 311 nt
Filed under: Vulpes vulpes (red fox)
Lineage: Eukaryota; Metazoa; Chordata; Mammalia; Carnivora; Canidae
Description: lncRNA (ENSVVUG00000024263.1)
Source: RNAcentral